This 250-nucleotide ribosomal RNA is filed under the name uncultured bacterium. RNAcentral describes it as "partial 16S ribosomal RNA". It matches the Rfam family "Bacterial small subunit ribosomal RNA", at positions 524 to 773 of the family's 1533-position model. The record is from RNAcentral.
GACGAACCGUGCGAACGUUGUUCGGAUUCACUGGGCUUAAAGGGCGCGUAGGCGGCUUCUCAAGUCGGGGGUGAAAUCCUCUCGCUUAACGAGAGAAUUGCUUUCGAUACUGGGGAGCUGGAGGGAGGUAGGGGUGCGCGGAACUUCCGGUGGAGCGGUGAAAUGCGUAGAUAUCGGAAGGAACGCCGGUGGCGAAAGCGGCGCACUGGACCUUCACUGACGCUGAGGCGCGAAAGCCAGGGGAGCAAAC